CUCGUAGGCGGUUUGUCGCGUCUGGUGUGAAAACUUAAGGCUCAACCUUGAGCUUGCACCGGGUACGGGCAGACUAGAGUGCGGUAGGGGUGACUGGAAUUCCUGGUGUAGCGGUGGAAUGCGCAGAUAUCAGGAGGAACACCGAUGGCGAAGGCAGGUCACUGGGCCGGCAACUGACGCUGAGGAGCGAAAGCGAUGGGGAGCGAACA
Molecule: ribosomal RNA, 209 nt
Filed under: uncultured bacterium
Lineage: Bacteria
Description: partial 16S ribosomal RNA
Rfam family: Bacterial small subunit ribosomal RNA
Source: RNAcentral